CAAACACGGAAACUCACAGCAAGGCAGCAGCCAACUGGGCCGGGUGAAGCUGAAUCGGCCGGGAGGGCGCCGAGGCCGCGAGUCGGGCCGGAGCAAAGGCGCGGCGGCUGAGGCGCAGGUCGGGAGACUGAGGCAGAGAGGGGGAAAUGCCCAACAUGCCAACGUAACCAGCAAAGCGUAGAUGGGAGCCCGGGCCCUCUGAAAGAGCGGAAAAGAAGAAAGUCUCGUGCCCGCGCGCAUUUCACGUCCUCAGUGCAGCAGUAAAAGCACGUGCCCUAGUAGGCUUGUUAUUCGUAGAGGGACCCAUGUGCAAGUGGAUCCGCGCAGCUCCGGGGACACCAGGCCUGACUCCUUGGCGCCCCCGCAUGGCUCGGGACUCCCUAUACCAGUUCCCAGGCGACCCUGGAGAGGUUUCAUUUCCCACACUACAGCCAUCGUGAUCCUAAGGCAAAUACUAGAACAGACACUUCUCUGCCUAAAUCCUCAGUGCUUACCCCAGAAUUAAAUUGAAAUCGGCCCCUUGCCGCAGCCUUCCGGGCCUGAUCUGGGGAUCUUCCCUCCCUCCCUGCACUCUAGCUGCAGGAGCUUCCUGGUGUCUGCCCAGAGCUUGUCCCUAAACUGAGUGGCUCAUCUUUCCCAUCCCUGCUGAAGACACCUCCUCUUAGAGGCCUUCUCGGAGUGGUUCCUGUUGUUCUUUUUCAGCACCCUCUUUACUUCCUGCUCAGUUCUGAUAACUAUUUAUAAUUAUUUAUUUGUUGGUUAACAUGCGUUUUUUUGUUUGGUUGGGUGGUAGAUUUCCCACUCCAGUUGACCAUAUCUGUAUGCCAAGUGCCUGGUAUAUAUUAAUAGUAGUACCUAAUGGUCAAAUAAGUGAAUUAGUGAACCCCUAUCUGCCAGAGUUGUGACAGAGAACAAAUAAGAUAAUAUAUAUGAAUGUGCUUUAUUUUCUGUAAACCAGGGGUCCCCAACCCCUGGGCUACUGACCAGUACUGGUCUGUGGCCUGUUAGGAACUGAGUGGCACAGCAGGAGGUGAGAGGAGGCAAGCCAGCGAAACUUCAUCUGUAUUUACAGCCACUCCCCAUCACUGGCAUUACCGCCUGAGCUUCGCAUCCUGUCAGAUCAGCAGUGGCAUUAGAUUCUCAGAGGGGUGCACAAACCUUAUUAUGAACUACCCUCAUGAGGAAUGUAGGUUGCACGCUCCUUAUGAGAAUCUAAUGCCCGAUGAUCUGAGGUGGAACAGUUUCAUCCCGUCUGUGAAAAAAAUUGCCUUCUGUGAAACUAGUGCCAAAAAGAUUGAGGACCACUGCCGUAAACCCAAAGUGUGGUUAAUGGACUCCAUAUCACCAGGGAGCUUGUUGAAAAUGCAGAAUCUUAGGCCCCACUGCCAACCUACUGAAUCAGAAUCUGCAUUUUAACAAGAUUUCUGGGCAGUUUGUUUGCACAAUAAAGUUUGAGAAGCACCACUAUAAAGCACUAUA
Symphalangus syndactylus (siamang) is the source of this 1479-nucleotide long non-coding RNA. RefSeq lists it as uncharacterized. Lineage: Eukaryota; Metazoa; Chordata; Mammalia; Primates; Hylobatidae. The record is from RefSeq and is a predicted model, not a curated record.